AAUGCGUUACCCGAAUGUCUCCAAAUUCUUCGACUAUUUCAGAAGCUGUCAAUCUGUUUUCCUGUUUGUAUGCCAGCAUUUUCAAAGUCAACUCACCUAUAGGAGACGUCGGGAUUUCUGGAAAAACGUAAGAAAAAGACGUUCGUUUUGAAAAUGCGCACCUGAAACUGGAGUCGCUCUGGACGUGAUGUAAUUUGACAACGUUUGGAUGUUUCAAGUUUCGCAGAGCUUCUUCUUCUUUUUCGCUGCCAUCAACAUCCUCCAGCAUAAGUCGUUUAACGGCUACUGGUUCGCGAUUUGGUCCCAAGAAACCGUUGAAGAUGAUCCCAAAUCCUCCUCUACUUAAAACGGUUUUGCUGCAUUCAAAUUCCAUCUCGAAUCAGCUGGCCGAUUGACUAAGCAGUUUUUGAAAUAAAAUUAUUAACGUGAAUUGAAAAAUGGAUUGAAAACUCAAUUUUUACAAGUAUUUACUUGCUACCAACAAAUAUAGAAAGAGAAAUACGGUUUGGUCGCUAUGUGCGAGAGCGUUUCUAGGCGUUUCUAGACAUUUUAUCCUACUUUGUGUGUACCUUUCUGUUUCCUUAUCUUUAUUUUUUUACUAUUGUAGCACCAAAUCACCAGAUAAAUGAUUCGGUUGCUCUGCUGACAAACUGUUAUAAAGCUUUUGUUUAUUUUACCCUUGAUCCCUUAUUUCGCUAUCGUGAUUUCUUAUCAGUUUCACUUUUUGGGACACUCUAUGGUCGUAGAGAACGGUAUGAUUAUUUUCUUAAGUUAUUUAUGGAUUGCUUUCACCAUUUCGCCUAGAUUCAAAUAGCUUGCCGUAAAAAAAAUUCAUCGAAUAGUCUCCUAUUUCUUUCAUAAGUUUCAUUUCGAGCUUAUAUAAACAUUCACCAGUAACAAGGAUUGUUGACUUACUCGUUUUUCUCACGCGCAUAUACCUAGCUGUGCCCUCUCGCGGUAAUGACUAUGGUUUUUAAUUCAUUUUAAAACAAUCAAUAUUAUUAAUAACAAAAAAAAUUGUCGCCGGUAGGGCCAGCUGGGCAGGCUCGAAUAGUACUGUUGGGAACUGUACAUUCCCAAAAUCUUAUUUAGCUUAAUGGUUUGCAAUUUUGUGUGUGGCAUAAUUUGAGCUUGAUUACACACUCGACCCAUUUACAGAAUUUGACAUAAAUUUUUAUCAGUGUUAAGUUACGCUAUCUAUAUCUGUGAUCACACGGUCACAACUUAAAUUUCCCUUAAUCUUAUAAGUCAUUUUAUUUUUUAAAUUUUUAUAACAGUCCUUAUAGUUCCGUAUCUUUAUAGUUCUGUUUACAAGCAGAGGCCUACGUUGAUUUACGAAAUAAAAUUUUCGUGCUGAUAGCUUGCUGGUUUUAGUGCUGCUAGGUUGGCCCUAUAGAUAGCACGCUUAAAAAUAAUUUUUAAACCUGAUUACACCAAUUAUAACCGGUUAAGGAAAAAAACAGGAAAAGAUUCAAGGAUGAAGAAACAACAAACUGCGAGUGCGUAAUAUGUUUAUUCACAUCAAUUUUGUAAUAGAGUAUAUAGGCUAACGUCCGAAGUUGCCAGUUCGCUGAAAUUGUGAAAAC
Molecule: long non-coding RNA, 1586 nt
Organism: Daphnia pulicaria
Lineage: Eukaryota; Metazoa; Arthropoda; Branchiopoda; Diplostraca; Daphniidae
Exons: 3
Source: RefSeq, a predicted model, not a curated record